UCUUGUUUCCCCGGCACUUAGUUGUGCCUUUUAACAAUCGCAAAGGCUCCGUUUCACGUCCUGUCCAUCGCCCAGUUUUCAGGAGACAGACAAGGUGUUGAUUUUAAUUAAGGCUUUUCUUUCUAUCGGUGUUUCAACAAUUCCAGGCAGAGAAACUCAGCAGCCUGGAGAGUAUAACGGGGUGAGUGCUGCAGGCUCCUUCGGCAAGCAAUAAAAUCACACGGGGAUCUGGACUCGCUAAGGAGACGAACCAAUCUGUACUGCUGCAGUUGUCAGCUGUGUACGGACUGUGCUGGGCCAGGCCCUGCUGUGAAACCAACCCGGAGGAGGCAGAGAGAGAUCAGAAACAUUUUAACCAGGACUGCAGCGUGGAAAAGAGACCAAUUGGAGUCAUUCCUUAAAACCGGUGAAAGGUUUUACCUCGGCAGCCCUGGCAAUGUAAGUCCUUUAUCCACAGAACAGAUCCACCAGCGGGAUUCUUCUGCACCUAUCCCAGCUCUGGUCCCAUGGGCAGUUCAGUCUCCCGGGCUCCUUUGAACCUGGGACCCUGUGCCAAGGCUGCCUGAAGUGGCACUUCUGUGAGGCAGGUGAGUGCUUGGUCUCUGGACACUCCACUGAGAGCACUGAUUUCACAUGGGUCACCAGCUGAACACUGUUUACACCAGCCUGGUUUGGAUUCAAACCAGCAGCCGGAAGAGGCUCUGUAGCCCCCUUACUCAUCACCUGAGCUCUCCUCCCUGCUGGGUUUCCUUUCAGCCAUUGAAGAAAAGGUUGAUGCUACUCCAGCCAGAGCUUCUCCCAUUGGGAGCUGCUGCAAACACGGUUGGAGCGCUCCUGUCCAGCUCUGCUUUCAAUCUAAGGCAGCCCUGAGCAACCAUCUCUCCGGGAGUUGCACCCCAGCAUACUGCAAUGGCACCGCCAGCAGUGCCUGAGGCCGAGCCCACGACACAGACGAGAAGCCGGGAGGUAUGUUUUAAAUACUUUUAUUUCUUAAUUUACAUAAAGGUAUAGAUUUGGCUUUAUUUCUCUUUAUACUCUGAGAUUGACAAUCGGUUGCUCUUAAAAAAUAAAAUAGCCAUUUGCUUCUGAAAGAAAUCAGAAAACUAUUUUAUACUCCUGCCUUGUAUAACAAGAAAACCUAUGAUAUACUCCCAUACAUCACAUAGUAGAAGUGAUUGCAAGUGCUGGUUUACAAAACAAUAAAGCAAAUAGAGAAGAAACCAAAUAACUAGGGUGUGGGGGAAAGUGAGACAAGCUUAGUGUUCCAGUCUACCUAGAGUUUAUUUAUGUCUCCAUCACUCGUUUGUCUCACCCUGAGGUUUGACUGAGAUUAGAGGAUGCUGGCCCAGUACUUCAAGCUUCACGCAGGUAAGCAGUCCUGUAGCUUUUACCAAACCCAGCUCUGUGAGUAAAGGCUACAGGAUGUGAAUACUGAUUUGG
Molecule: long non-coding RNA, 1440 nt
Organism: Trachemys scripta elegans
Lineage: Eukaryota; Metazoa; Chordata; Testudines; Emydidae
Exons: 3
Source: RefSeq, a predicted model, not a curated record